Small nucleolar RNA from Sparus aurata (gilthead seabream), 137 nucleotides. The record is from Ensembl. Lineage: Eukaryota; Metazoa; Chordata; Actinopteri; Spariformes; Sparidae.
UUCCUUUAUGUGUCGCCCAUUCAUUGCUUUCAAACGGUGAAUGCGGUGUCGACAAAGGCACACAGCAAAUCCUUGUAUCGGCCUUAUCAAGGUCCCCUCUCGGUGACCUUGUCAUAAGUUCUAUACCAAGUACAGUC